CCUACGGGAGGCAGCAGUAGGGAAUCUUCCACAAUGGGCGAAAGCCUGAUGGAGCAACGCCGCGUGGGUGAAGAAGGUCUUCGGAUCGUAAAACCCUGUUGUUAGAGAAGAAAGUGCGUGAGAGUAACUGUUCACAUUUCGACGGUAUCUAACCAGAAAGCCACGGCUAACUACGUGCCAGCAGCCGCGGUAAUACGUAGGUGGCAAGCGUUAUCCGGAUUUAUUGGGCGUAAAGGGAACGCAGGCGGUCUUUUAAGUCUGAUGUGAAAGCCUUCGGCUUAACCGGAGUAGUGCAUUGGAAACUGGGAGACUUGAGUGCAGAAGAGGAGAGUGGAACUCCAUGUGUAGCGGUGAAAUGCGUAGAUAUAUGGAAGAACACCAGUGGCGAAAGCGGCUUUCUGGUCUGUAACUGACGCUGAGGUUCGAAAGCGUGGGUAGCAAACAGGAUUAGAUACCCUUGUAGUC
This 465-nucleotide ribosomal RNA is filed under the name uncultured bacterium. RNAcentral describes it as "partial 16S ribosomal RNA". It matches the Rfam family "Bacterial small subunit ribosomal RNA", at positions 338 to 795 of the family's 1533-position model. The record is from RNAcentral.